UAACUGGUGAGUAUGGAAUCUUUUUCUGUUUUUCAUUUUAUUUUAUUUUUCAGUUUGGAGUUUGUGGAAUAGAUAGGUUUUUACUUUAUGAAUCUGGAACGAACGGAUUGCUACCGGCGGCAUUCCUGAACGCAAUUGGGUCCAACACGGAAGCUAAACUAGUUCAUAUGCAUACGGACUACGUUGCCCAGAAGCAGGCACAACAAGCAAUGAAUUUCGAUACGGAACAACUGAGCAGAUGCAUAUCAGUGAAAGUUUAUUCCGUUCUGAGACAUUUCUACCAACGAAGUAAGGACACGAACGGUAUUGAAUUGAAUGAUGCUAAGCCAGAUCAACAGUGUGGGGAGACUGACGGUGUAGAUUCGCCACAGGUGGAAAUUAAUCACAAACGCAAGAUGUGACAUUAUCAGAUUCUCCCAAAGUGGUUUCUUACCAGCUAUGAAUACACCCGUUCGGAUGAUGUGGCUUUUUUGCUUCCAUCAACUGCAGUCAACAGCAUCGGCUUUCCCGUAGCAGUAUCCUCCAAGCCAUGGUGGCUGUUCCAGGGGACAACAUCAACAGCAGCAGCAUCUGGACCUGACCAUCGAUAGUGUUUCGAGCAACUUUCCAUAUCGGAGAUCUCGUGCUUCGCGCACAUUGAAGAAACCUCCUCAGCCACAUAUGUGUGUCAAGGAGAAAAAGGAGCUGGAUUCGAAUCGUCAAUCCAGACAACCCGAAUGCA
Toxorhynchites rutilus septentrionalis is the source of this 721-nucleotide long non-coding RNA. RefSeq lists it as uncharacterized. The record is from RefSeq and is a predicted model, not a curated record. The transcript has 3 exons. NCBI's taxonomy places the organism in Eukaryota, Metazoa, Arthropoda, Insecta, Diptera, Culicidae.